AUUGAACGCUGGCGGCAGGCCUAACACAUGCAAGUCGAGCGGAUGAAGGGAGCUUGCUCCUGGAUUCAGCGGCGGACGGGUGAGUAAUGCCUAGGAAUCUGCCUGGUAGUGGGGGAUAACGUCCGGAAACGGGCGCUAAUACCGCAUACGUCCUGAGGGAGAAAGUGGGGGAUCUUCGGACCUCACGCUAUCAGAUGAGCCUAGGUCGGAUUAGCUAGUUGGUGGGGUAAAGGCCUACCAAGGCGACGAUCCGUAACUGGUCUGAGAGGAUGAUCAGUCACACUGGAACUGAGACACGGUCCAGACUCCUACGGGAGGCAGCAGUGGGGAAUAUUGGACAAUGGGCGAAAGCCUGAUCCAGCCAUGCCGCGUGUGUGAAGAAGGUCUUCGGAUUGUAAAGCACUUUAAGUUGGGAGGAAGGGCAGUAGGUUAAUACCUUGCUGUUCUGACGUUACCAACAGAAUAAGCACCGGCUAACUUCGUG
This 484-nucleotide ribosomal RNA is filed under the name uncultured bacterium. RNAcentral's name for it is "partial 16S ribosomal RNA". It matches the Rfam family "Bacterial small subunit ribosomal RNA", at positions 30 to 507 of the family's 1533-position model. The record is from RNAcentral.